RNAcentral lists this non-coding RNA (81 nucleotides) under Streptomyces atratus. The record is from RNAcentral. Lineage: Bacteria; Bacillati; Actinomycetota; Actinomycetes; Kitasatosporales; Streptomycetaceae.
AGGGGAGGAAGUCCGGUGCGAUUCCGGCACGGUCCCGCCACUGUGAGCCCGGCCACGGCCUGGCAAGUCAGGAACUCCCUU